AGAACGAACGCUGGCGGCAUGCCUAAUACAUGCAAGUCGAACGAACUCUUCGGAGUUAGUGGCGCACGGGUGCGUAACGCGUGGGAAUCUGCCCCUUGGUUCGGAAUAACAGUUGGAAACGACUGCUAAUACCGGAUGAUGACGAAAGUCCAAAGAUUUAUCGCCAAGGGAUGAGCCCGCGUAGGAUUAGCUAGUUGGUGAGGUAAAGGCUCACCAAGGCAACGAUCCUUAGCUGGUCUGAGAGGAUGAUCAGCCACACUGGGACUGAGACGACGGCCCACGACCCCACGGGAGGCAGCAGUAGGGAAUAGUUGGACAAUAGGGACGAAAGCCUAGAUCCAGACAAUGCCGCGUAGAGUGAUAGGAAGGUCCGUUAGGGUUAGUAAAAGUCCUUACCUUUUUAACCCGG
RNAcentral lists this ribosomal RNA (409 nucleotides) under uncultured soil bacterium. Its description in RNAcentral is "bacterial SSU rRNA". It matches the Rfam family "Bacterial small subunit ribosomal RNA", at positions 26 to 451 of the family's 1533-position model. The record is from RNAcentral.